This 71-nucleotide transfer RNA is filed under the name marine eukaryotic metagenome. It matches the Rfam family "tRNA". From Rfam's summary of the family: Transfer RNA (tRNA) molecules are approximately 80 nucleotides in length. Their secondary structure includes four short double-helical elements and three loops (D, anti-codon, and T loops). Further hydrogen bonds mediate the characteristic L-shaped molecular structure. tRNAs have two regions of fundamental functional importance: the anti-codon, which is responsible for specific mRNA codon recognition, and the 3' end, to which the tRNAs corresponding amino acid is attached (by aminoacyl-tRNA synthetases). tRNAs cope with the degeneracy of the genetic code in two manners: having more than one tRNA (with a specific anti-codon) for a particular amino acid; and 'wobble' base-pairing, i.e. permitting non-standard base-pairing at the 3rd anti-codon position. The record is from RNAcentral.
GCAAGGUAGCUCAGACGGUAGAGCAGGGGACUGAAAAUCCCUGUGUCGGCGGUUCAAUUCCGCCCCUUGCC